Molecule: ribosomal RNA, 140 nt
Filed under: Phaeosphaeriaceae sp.
Lineage: Eukaryota; Fungi; Ascomycota; Dothideomycetes; Pleosporales; Phaeosphaeriaceae
Description: partial small subunit ribosomal RNA
Source: RNAcentral
UAAAUAGCCAGGCCAGCUUUGGCUGGUCGCCGGCUUCUUAGAGGGACUAUCGGCUCAAGCCGAUGGAAGUUUGAGGCAAUAACAGGUUGACCUACACAGGCCUGUAAAAGUAAGGGCCUCUUGAAAUAUUACUUGCUAGU